RNAcentral lists this long non-coding RNA (1459 nucleotides) under Equus asinus (donkey). Its description in RNAcentral is "lncRNA (ENSEASG00005036028.1)". Lineage: Eukaryota; Metazoa; Chordata; Mammalia; Perissodactyla; Equidae. The record is from RNAcentral.
CUGCUAGCAGCGAGAAUAUAACCAUGCUAUGUCUGUAGAGAGAGCACAUUAGAUGGCACAAAGAGUGGACCUGAUGUUGUGGGAAUCACCAUGCAGCACCAGGUGAAAGCAACUAAGGGUUUCCAGCGUCGAGAGCAACAGUGUGAACGUGGCCACGCCUCCAGCCUCCCUGUCAGCUGAUUCCCGCUCUCAAGUGGUCAAGGCCCCGUGAAGUGCAGACCAGCACAGAAACACAGUAAAUACAGGGAGCCUGCCCACAUUUGCCUACACCCAAAGAAUCCAGAAGCUCAUCUAUGCCUCUGUUUAGGCGGUUCCACGUUCUGACUCCACCAGGCACAGGACUCUCAUUUGCUCAAAAAACCACAGUGCACAUGGAUCUGAAAAGUCAGCAGUAGCUUGAGAACUUGGAAGGAGAACAGAGAUGUGUAAAGCGUCAACUGGAAAAGAGAUGGUGCAUACUGCACAGAAUGUGUUUCUCAAAGUGUUGUCUGGGGACUCCUGGGACACUUUCUAGCUGAUCACAUGUGGAUUAAAUGAAAGAAACAUCAGAUGGCUGGUCUUGCAAAGCUGAAGGCAGGCCAUUGACCCAGGAGUUGGUCUGAGCUUCUGGCAGAAGCAGCCAUUGUCCUGGAAAGUCGAAAUGAGGAACAAAAAGUCUGAAGUCCUGAAAAUGAUACACAUUGCAGCCUCUUUGCCUUUCUUUUACUUCCUUUAUUGUUCUCACCUCAUCAUGAAUUAGAAUGUAAUGCAGGAGCAGCAUGACAGAUCUUGCCCACUGAGCCACUAAAGGAAAAGAAAUUACAAAAUUUUUAAAUGAAAAAUCAUGAAUAAGUAAAGCAAGAGACUAUUUCUCUCUGACAUAGCAGCCUGCCCUCACUGCCCUGCAUUCUCAGAGGGAGAUGGAGACAGAGACAGAGGAAUGAAGAAGCCCAAUGGAAUCCACUCACUGAUAAACAACCAAAGGUCAUUAGUUUCUGUAACAUAAGCUUCUAAUGAGACACAUCAUCAUCACUGAAUCCCCUGUGCCCAGCUCAGAAACCUCAAGCACAACAAGUGUUCAAUAGUUUAAGUAAAAGAGUUGAAUAGUAAAAUCUGUUCUUGGCAACAUAAAAAUUAUGUGCCUACUGAAGGUGAAAUGAUUGCCGUUGGGUAAUUCCUCCACCUCCUUAGACGAAAGAAAUGUUUGCUCUCAGCACCUGAGGGCUGUUGACAUUUUUGAUACCUGGGGACUGAGUCAGGAGAGCAGGAGGUCACCACUGAGGACUGAGGUCCUUCACGCAAACACUUUAGGAGCAAGGGUGACGGUCCUGAAGGAUAAAUUAUUUUGCCAACACGGAAAUAAACCCCUCCACAGAAAAUAAAUCCUCAGGAUUGAAGUCCUCAGGCUGUGGUGAGCCUGCCCUCAGUUCUUGAGUCCAGGAGAGUUCAGGAUGAGGCCUCUGUCACUGGGGAGGAGCUG